UACGAAGGGUGCAAGCGUUACUCGGAAUUACUGGGCGUAAAGGGUGCGUAGGCGGUUCGUUAAGUCGGAUGUGAAAGCCCUGGGCUCAACCUGGGAAUGGCAUCCGAAACUGCCGUUCUUGAGUGUCGGAGAGGGUGGUGGAAUUCCCGGUGUAGAGGUGAAAUUCGUAGAGAUUGGGAGGAACACCAGUGGCGAAGGCGGCUUUCUGGACGACAACUGACGCUGAGGCGCGAAAGCGUGGGGAGCGAACAGG
RNAcentral lists this ribosomal RNA (253 nucleotides) under uncultured bacterium. RNAcentral's name for it is "partial 16S ribosomal RNA". It matches the Rfam family "Bacterial small subunit ribosomal RNA", at positions 524 to 776 of the family's 1533-position model. The record is from RNAcentral.